UGUGGUUCUGCUAUAAAAGAGAUUGGUCUUUGGAAGGCAUAAUUCUAGGGGAUUGGAAUGACAUUGAGAUUCGAUUUGAAUGUUCAAAUUAUGAUCCUAAAAAAGCAGAAAUUAUAAUAGAAAGGUGCGGAGUCCAUGUAUCAUGCAUUUGUCCUCCUUGCAACUUCGCAGCAAAUGAGGAUGCUAACUUCAACCCAUGUCCACCAUUGAAGAAAAUGAGAAACUCUUGAUUGAAUUUCAAACAAAUAUGCCAAGUUGUGGUGAUGAAAAUUCUUUAGGAGGCACAAGGGGAAGCACAUCAAGUAUUUGAUAAAAUGUUACUUUGGGCUGAAUGAAUGAACUCACUCUCUUACUUUACAAAAGAGGAGGUUCAAUAUAUAUAUAUUUAAUGGUAAAUUACUGUAAAGAUUACACUAUUGUAUUUCUAUUGUUAGCUGGUUGUUGAGGAUUAAUCUUUUCGAUUUCAGCAAACAUCAUGAACUUCAUUGCAAGUCCAGCUUGCAAGCUCGACUGGGAAUGGAAGAGCAAAGGAUGUUUUUGCAGAUUCUCAUUCAAUUUAAUGGCCCAUUCAUUCAGGGGCCAGCUAAUCUGAUAUGUCAUGUUAGCUGCUGGCAGCUUGAGCAUGAAUGGUAACAGGUUUAUGCAUUUAGUUCUUGCAUACAUGAUGAUGUAUCUUGGUGCUAGUACUUCACUGUUUUAUGUGUUAUAAAUAUGGUCCUUCAGCUCCUCAAAGUGUAGAUAGAAGUAGGAUCCAGCAAUUUAAUAGCUGACAUAUAAGGUUUAGAUUUCUUAAUUUUGUUUGAAUAAAUUAAAUACAACUUAUUUAAGCCAUCAAGUCUUCUAGGCUAAGAUUUAUAGGCACUAACAUUAACCUUGAGUAUCAACAUGGACAUAAUGUCUAACAUGGUAAUUUUGAAAAAUUAAGACGUCAUGGUGCACUCAUAUAAAAAGGAGGUCUUUAACUAUCAUGAGCAAGGAAUUUUCUUGUAGAUGUCUAACAGUGUAUAUAAGAAAAAUACUAGUGUUAUAAGCCUAUUCAUAUCUUUCCUAAAACAUUACAUCAAUAAUCUGGGAAGUCUAGGCUGUGACAAAUAUAGAGGCAAAUGUAUUAGCGAUAAUAGCUACCAAACCAGGGGAAAAAUUGAUAAAGCACACGACAAUGGAUAAUCAAA
Long non-coding RNA from Quercus robur (English oak), 1172 nucleotides. RefSeq lists it as uncharacterized. The transcript is spliced from 3 exons. NCBI's taxonomy places the organism in Eukaryota, Viridiplantae, Streptophyta, Magnoliopsida, Fagales, Fagaceae. The record is from RefSeq and is a predicted model, not a curated record.